GACGAACGCUGGCGGCGUGCCUAACACAUGCAAGUCGAACGAGAAGUUCAUUAAUGAUACCUUCGGGUUGAAUUAAUGAAUGGACAGUGGCGGACGGGCGAGUAACGCGUGAGGAACCUGCCUUUCAGAGGGGGACAACAGUUGGAAACGACUGCUAAUACCGCAUAACGCGUAGAGAUCGCAUGGUCUUUACGCCAAAGAUUUAUCGCUGAGAGAUGGCCUCGCGUCUGAUUAGCUAGUUGGUGAGGUAACGGCCCACCAAGGCAACGAUCAGUAGCCGGACUGAGAGGUUGACCGGCCACAUUGGGACUGAGAUACGGCCCAGACUCCUACGGGAGGCAGCAGUGGGGAAUAUUGGGCAAUGGGCGCAAGCCUGACCCAGCAACGCCGCGUGAAGGAAGAAGGCUUUCGGGUGUAAACUUCUUUGUCGAGGAGAGUAGAAGACUGUACUCGGCGAAUAAGCCACGGCUAACUACGUG
RNAcentral lists this ribosomal RNA (479 nucleotides) under uncultured bacterium. RNAcentral describes it as "bacterial SSU rRNA". It matches the Rfam family "Bacterial small subunit ribosomal RNA", at positions 28 to 507 of the family's 1533-position model. The record is from RNAcentral.